Molecule: ribosomal RNA, 484 nt
Filed under: uncultured bacterium
Lineage: Bacteria
Description: partial 16S ribosomal RNA
Rfam family: Bacterial small subunit ribosomal RNA
Source: RNAcentral
AUUGAACGCUGGCGGCAGGCCUAACACAUGCAAGUCGAGCGGAUGAAGGGAGCUUGCUCCUGGAUUCAGCUGCGGACGGGUGAGUAAUGCCUAGGAAUCUGCCUGGUAGUGGGGGAUAACGUCCGGAAACGGGCGCUAAUACCGCAUACGUCCUGAGGGAGAAAGGGGGGGAUCUUCGGACCUCACGCUAUCAGAUGAGCCUAGGUCGGAUUAGCUAGUUGGUGGGGUAAAGGCCUACCAAGGCGACGAUCCGUAACUGGUCUGAGAGGAUGAUCAGUCACACUGGAACUGAGACACGGUCCAGACUCCUACGGGAGGCAGCAGUGGGGAAUAUUGGACAAUGGGCGAAAGCCUGAUCCAGCCAUGCCGCGUGUGUGAAGAAGGUCUUCGGAUUGUAAAGCACUUUAAGUUGGGAGGAAGGGCAGUAAGUUAAUACCUUGCUGUUUUGACGUUACCAACAGAAUAAGCACCGGCUAACUUCGUG